AGUUCCUACGGGACGCAGCAGUGAGGAAUAUUGGUCAAUGGCCGGAAGGCUGAACCAGCCAAGCCGCGUGAAGGACGAAGGUGCCAAGCAUUGUAAACUUCUUUUGUCAAGGGACAAAAUCAGGCUCGAGAGCCUGACCGAGGGUACUUGAAGAAAAAGCAUCGGCUAACUCCGUGCCAGCAGCCGCGGUAAUACGGGGGAUGCGCGCGUUAUCCGGAUUUAUUGGGUUUAAAGGGUGCGUAGGCGGACUGUUAAGUCAGCGGUAAAAGCCCGGGGCUCAACCCCGUCGAGCCGUUGAAACUGGG
Molecule: ribosomal RNA, 305 nt
Filed under: uncultured bacterium
Lineage: Bacteria
Description: bacterial SSU rRNA
Rfam family: Bacterial small subunit ribosomal RNA
Source: RNAcentral